Non-coding RNA from Crucibulum laeve, 92 nucleotides. NCBI's taxonomy places the organism in Eukaryota, Fungi, Basidiomycota, Agaricomycetes, Agaricales, Nidulariaceae. The record is from the annotation of a GenBank genome assembly.
GCUCCUAUGGUCUAAGGUGAAGACAUUGGGUGGAUGUGAAUCUCUGAGCAACUCCUGAUCCAGAAACGUGAGUUCAAAUCUCACUGGGAGCA